RNAcentral lists this ribosomal RNA (315 nucleotides) under Clostridioides difficile. RNAcentral's name for it is "bacterial SSU rRNA". It matches the Rfam family "Bacterial small subunit ribosomal RNA", at positions 1004 to 1313 of the family's 1533-position model. Lineage: Bacteria; Bacillati; Bacillota; Clostridia; Peptostreptococcales; Peptostreptococcaceae. The record is from RNAcentral.
AUCAUAAGAUUUCCCUUCGGGGACAGUGGUGACAGGUGGUGCAUGGUUUGUCGUCAGCUCGUGUCGUGAGAUGUUGGGUUAAGUCCCGCAACGAGCGCAAACCCUUGCCUUUAGUUGCCAGCAUUAAGUUGGGCACUCUAGAGGGACUGCCGAGGAUAACUCGGAGGAAGGUGGGGAUGACGUCAAAAUCAUCAUGCCCCUUAUGCUUAGGGCUACACACGUGCUACAAUGGGUGGUACAGAGGGUUGCCAAGCCGCGAGGUGGAGCAAAUCUCCUUAAAGCCAAUUCUCAGUUCGGAUUGUAGGCUGCAAACUC